CGCGGGAUGGAGCAGCUCGGUAGCUCGUCAGGCUCAUAACCUGAAGGUCGUAGGUUCAAAUCCUACUCCCGCAA
Non-coding RNA from Jannaschia donghaensis, 74 nucleotides. NCBI's taxonomy places the organism in Bacteria, Pseudomonadati, Pseudomonadota, Alphaproteobacteria, Rhodobacterales, Roseobacteraceae. The record is from Rfam.